GAGUUUGAUCCUGGCUCAGGACGAACGCUGGCGGCGUGCCUAAUACAUGCAAGUCGAGCGGACCGAAUAGAAGCUUGCUUCUAUUUGGUUAGCGGCGGACGGGUGAGUAACACGUGGGCAACCUGCCCUGUAGACGGGGAUAACACCGAGAAAUCGGUGCUAAUACCGGAUAACACGGAAUGUCGCAUGACGUUUCGUUGAAAGGCGGCGCAAGCUGUCGCUACAGGAUGGGCCCGCGGCGCAUUAGCUAGUUGGUGAGGUAACGGCUCACCAAGGCGACGAUGCGUAGCCGACCUGAGAGGGUGAUCGGCCACACUGGGACUGAGACACGGCCCAGACUCCUACGGGAGGCAGCAGUAGGGAAUCUUCCGCAAUGGACGAAAGUCUGACGGAGCAACGCCGCGUGAGCGAAGAAGGCCUUCGGGUCGUAAAGCUCUGUUGUUAGGGAAGAACAAGUAGCGCAGUAACUGGCGUUACUUUGACGGUACCUAACGAGGAAGCCACGGCUAACUACGUGCCAGCACCCGCGGUAAUACGUAGGUGGCAAGCGUUGUCCGGAAUUAUUGGGCGUAAACCGCGCGCAGGCGGUUCCUUAAGGCUGAUGUGAAAGCCCACGGCUCACCCGUGGAGGGUCACUGCACACCGGGGGACUUG
This 654-nucleotide ribosomal RNA is filed under the name uncultured bacterium. RNAcentral describes it as "bacterial SSU rRNA". It matches the Rfam family "Bacterial small subunit ribosomal RNA", at positions 9 to 644 of the family's 1533-position model. The record is from RNAcentral.